This 497-nucleotide ribosomal RNA is filed under the name uncultured bacterium. RNAcentral's name for it is "partial 16S ribosomal RNA". It matches the Rfam family "Bacterial small subunit ribosomal RNA", at positions 28 to 507 of the family's 1533-position model. The record is from RNAcentral.
GACGAACGCUGGCGGCGUGCCUAAUACAUGCAAGUUGAGCGCUGAAGGUUGGUACUUGUACCAACUGGAUGAGCAGCGAACGGGUGAGUAACGCGUGGGGAAUCUGCCUUUGAGCGGGGGACAACAUUUGGAAACGAAUGCUAAUACCGCAUAAAAACUUUAAACACAAGUUUUAAGUUUGAAAGAUGCAAUUGCAUCACUCAAAGAUGAUCCCGCGUUGUAUUAGCUAGUUGGUGAGGUAAAGGCUCACCAAGGCGAUGAUACAUAGCCGGCCUGAGAGGGUGAUCGGCCACAUUGGGACUGAGACACGGCCCAAACUCCUACGGGAGGCAGCAGUAGGGAAUCUUCGGCAAUGGACGAAAGUCUGACCGAGCAACGCCGCGUGAGUGAAGAAGGGUUUCGGAUCGUAAAACUCUGUUGGUAGAGAAGAACGUUGGUGAGAGUGGAAAGCUCAUCAAGUGACGGUAACUACCCAGAAAGGGACGGCUAACUACGUG